Molecule: ribosomal RNA, 250 nt
Filed under: uncultured prokaryote
Description: partial 16S ribosomal RNA
Rfam family: Bacterial small subunit ribosomal RNA
Source: RNAcentral
UACAGAGGUCCCUAGCGUUGUUCGGAUUUACUGGGCGUAAAGGGCGCGUAUGCUGCGCGGCGUGUCAAGUGUGAAAUCUCCGGGCUCAACCCGGAAAGUGCGCUUGAAACUACCGUGCUGGAGGCCGGGAGAGGGAAUCGGAAUACAUGGUGUAGCGGUGAAAUGCGUUGAUAUCCUGUAGAACACCGGAGGCGAAGGCGGAUUCCUGGAACGGCACUGACGCUGAGGCGCGAAAGUCGGGGGAGUAAAC